This 753-nucleotide long non-coding RNA is filed under the name Homo sapiens (human). RNAcentral's name for it is "PREDICTED lncRNA (TCONS_00075304)". Lineage: Eukaryota; Metazoa; Chordata; Mammalia; Primates; Hominidae. The record is from RNAcentral.
GGGUCCGCCCGUUUCUCUAAUCAAGUUGUAACACUCGCUGCUGUGGUCCACAGCUUCAUUCCUUGAAGCCCGUGAGACACGAACGCUUCCAUUGAGAAAAACCUUCCAUCAGAAGAAGACUUCUCGUCUCAGUGGGACUGCUGAGUUGAAUGAGACGAGGUUUCACCAUGUUACCCAAGCUGAUCUCGAACUCCUGGGUUCAUGCGAUCCACCUGACUCAGCCUCACAAAGUGGUAGGACUACAGAAAAUGAACAGGACUAUUCUUCCUCAAACAAAGAGAUCGUGUGAUGAAGACUCACCAGAGCUGUUCUCUAUAAGCUUGAAGAGCAAUGGUAUCAGGUGCUUUUUUUUCUGAAGCUUUGGUAGUGUAACUGUAAGAGUCCUGGAAUUGGAAAAGCAAAUCCAGAAGUUGAGUUCCAUGACUUUUUUGCUGUUUGCCUUUGGAAUUUUUACUGAACACUACAAUGACUGCAUAAAAAGAAAAAUUGAUAGCAGAGUUGGAAACUAGCAAAAGAUGACAUCUCUAAGCCUGAAAGCCAGAAGGAAUGUUGGGAAUAUAUUGUUUAGAGGAUAACUUUGCAGAAAGGUCAGCAAACAUGCAAGCUACAACAUGAGAAGAAAUCUGUUCCAGAGCUCAGAGUGGGUGGGAAGGACAAAGUGGGAGCUGCCAGGGCAGAAGGGAAGGCUGGUGAAUAGUCUAUAAUGGAGAUUCUGGCUACAAUUAAAUCACUUGAAGACAUUUUUAUUAACAU